RNAcentral lists this ribosomal RNA (460 nucleotides) under uncultured bacterium. RNAcentral's name for it is "partial 16S ribosomal RNA". It matches the Rfam family "Bacterial small subunit ribosomal RNA", at positions 338 to 795 of the family's 1533-position model. The record is from RNAcentral.
CCUACGGUAGGCAGCAGUGAGGAAUAUUGGACAAUGGACGCAAGUCUGAAGCAGCCAUGCCGCGUGCAGGAAGACGGCUCUAUGAGUUGUAAACUGCUUUUGUACGAGGGUAAACGCAGAUACGCGUAUCUGUCUGAAAGUAUCGUACGAAUAAGGAUCGGCUAACUCCGGGCCAGCAGCCGCGGUAAUACGGAGGAGUCAAGCGUUAUCCGGAUUUAUUGGGUUGAAAGGGUGCGUAGGCGGUCGGAGAAGUGAGAGGUGAAAUCCCGAGGCUCAACUUCGGAAUUGCCUCUGAUACUGUACGGCUAGAGAGUAGUUGCGGUAGGCGGAAUGUAUGGUGUAGCGGUGAAAUGCUUAGAGAUCAUACAGAACACCGAUUGCGAAGGCAGCUUACCAAGCUACUUCUGACGUUGAGGCACGAAAGCGUGGGGAGCAAACAGGAUUAGAUACCCUUGUAGUC